This 1506-nucleotide long non-coding RNA is filed under the name Callithrix jacchus (white-tufted-ear marmoset). RNAcentral describes it as "lncRNA (ENSCJAG00000072903.1)". Lineage: Eukaryota; Metazoa; Chordata; Mammalia; Primates; Cebidae. The record is from RNAcentral.
CACCAUCCCUCCUGCCAGCUCUGCCUCCUGAGAGAUACUAGGAAGAGCCAGCUUUGUUCCGGCACAACGGGCAUCCCCUCGGGCAGUGGUAGCCUCCUCAUCCUACAUUUUUAUGACAAAAAGGAGCCAUUCUCAUUUCCAAGGUGCCGGGUGCAGAGCUUAGCGCUGAGUGCAGAGGGGAUUUCCAAGGCGGGCUAGGUGCCGGGUGCAAAGCUUAGUCCUGAGUGCAGAGGGGAUUUCCCAGGCAGGCUAGGUGGCGGGUGCAGAGCUUAGUCCUGAGUGCAGAGGGGAUUUCCCAGGCGGGCUAGGUGCCCGGUGCAGAGCUUAGUCCUGAGUGCAGAGGGGAUUUCCAAGGCGGGCUAGGUGCCCGGUGCAGAGCUUAGUCCUGAGUGCAGAGGGGAUUUCCAAGGCGGGCUAGGUGCCGGGUGCAGAGCUUAGCGCUGAGUGCAGAGGGGAUUUCCAAGGCGGGCUAGGUGCCCGGUGAAGAGCUUAGCGCUGAGUGCAGAGGGGAUUUCCAAGGCGGGCUAGGUGCCCGGUGCAGAGCUUAGUGCUGAGUGCAGAGGGGAUUUCCAAGGCGGGCUAGGUGCCCGGUGCAGAGCUUAGUGCUGAGUGCAGAGGGGAUUUCCAAGACGGGCUAGGUGCCCGGUGCAGAGCUUAGUGCUGAGUGCAGAGGGGAUUUCCAAGGCGGGCUAGGUGCGGGGUGCAGAGCUUAGCGCUGAGUGCAGAGGGGAUUUCCAAGGUGGGCUAGGUGCCGGGUGCAGAGCUUAGUGCUGAGUGCAGAGGGGAUUUCCAAGGCGGGCUAGGUGCCGGGUGCAGAGCUUAGUCCUGAGUGCAGAGGGGAUUUCCAAGGCGGGCUAGGUGCCCGGUGCAGAGCUUAGUGCUGAGUGCAGAGGGGAUUUCCAAGGCAGGCUAGGUGCCGGGUGCAGAGCUUAUUCCUGAGUGCAGAGGGGAGUUCCAAGGCGGGCUAGGUGCCAGGUGCAGAGCUUAGUGCUGAGUGCAGAGGGGAUUUCCAAGACAGAGCUAGAUGAUGGGCAUAUUCCGGUGACAUAAUUUUCAGGCGAGGAGAGGGAUGGGCGUGUCUGAGCUCCUGGCGAGGAAACCAGCCUUACAAUUACUAUGAAACAAACUGGUGUGGUCCGAAUGUUUGCAUUGCCUCAAAAUUCAUAGGUUGAAAUCCUAAGCCUUAAGGUGAUGGUGUCAGGAGGUGGGGCCUUUAGGGGGGUGAUUAGGUCACAAGGAUGGAGCCCUCAUGAAUGAGAUUAGUGCCCUUACAAAAAAGGCCCAGGGGAGCUCAUUCUGUUCGUCCUUCCACCGUGUGAGAACAGUGAGAAGACACUUUCUAUGAACAGAAGACAACCCUUACCAGAAUCAAAUCUGGCAUCUUGAUCUUGAACUUCUCAGGCUCCAGAGCUGUGAGAGAUCAGUUUCCAUCGUCAGAAGCCUAUUGUUUGUUUCUUUUUAAUAGCACUCCAAACAAACUAAGACACAAACCCAACACUUAGUGGC